This 655-nucleotide ribosomal RNA is filed under the name Staphylococcus aureus. RNAcentral describes it as "partial 23S ribosomal RNA". It matches the Rfam family "Bacterial large subunit ribosomal RNA", at positions 1497 to 2149 of the family's 2925-position model. The record is from RNAcentral. Lineage: Bacteria; Bacillati; Bacillota; Bacilli; Caryophanales; Staphylococcaceae.
GAUUGGAUUGCACGUCUAAGCAGUAAGGCUGAGUAUUAGGCAAAUCCGGUACUCGUUAAGGCUGAGCUGUGAUGGGGAGAAGACAUUGUGUCUUCGAGUCGUUGAUUUCACACUGCCGAGAAAAGCCUCUAGAUAGAAAAUAGGUGCCCGUACCGCAAACCGACACAGGUAGUCAAGAUGAGAAUUCUAAGGUGAGCGAGCGAACUCUCGUUAAGGAACUCGGCAAAAUGACCCCGUAACUUCGGGAGAAGGGGUGCUCUUUAGGGUUAACGCCCAGAAGAGCCGCAGUGAAUAGGCCCAAGCGACUGUUUAUCAAAAACACAGGUCUCUGCUAAACCGUAAGGUGAUGUAUAGGGGCUGACGCCUGCCCGGUGCUGGAAGGUUAAGAGGAGUGGUUAGCUUCUGCGAAGCUACGAAUCGAAGCCCCAGUAAACGGCGGCCGUAACUAUAACGGUCCUAAGGUAGCGAAAUUCCUUGUCGGGUAAGUUCCGACCCGCACGAAAGGCGUAACGAUUUGGGCACUGUCUCAACGAGAGACUCGGUGAAAUCAUAGUACCUGUGAAGAUGCAGGUUACCCGCGACAGGACGGAAAGACCCCGUGGAGCUUUACUGUAGCCUGAUAUUGAAAUUCGGCACAGCUUGUACAGGAUAGGUA